CAGUAGCCGCGGGAAUACGGAGGGUGCAAGCGUUAAUCGGAAUUACUGGGCGUAAAGCGCGCGUAGGUGGUUCGCCAAGUUGGAUGUGAAAUCCCCGGGCUCAACCUGGGAACUGCAUCCAAAACUGGCGAGCUAGAGUAUGGUAGAGGGUGGUGGAAUUUCCUGUGUAGCGGUGAAAUGCGUAGAUAUAGGAAGGAACACCAGUGGCGAAGGCGACUACCUGGACUGAUACUGACACUGAGGUGCGAAAGCGUGGGGAGCAAACAGGAUUAGAUACCCCUGUAGUCCCUGUCUCUUAUAA
Molecule: ribosomal RNA, 301 nt
Filed under: uncultured bacterium
Lineage: Bacteria
Description: partial 16S ribosomal RNA
Rfam family: Bacterial small subunit ribosomal RNA
Source: RNAcentral